RNAcentral lists this ribosomal RNA (1401 nucleotides) under Palaminus sp. DDM0326. Its description in RNAcentral is "eukaryotic LSU rRNA". It matches the Rfam family "Eukaryotic large subunit ribosomal RNA", at positions 64 to 1100 of the family's 3401-position model. Lineage: Eukaryota; Metazoa; Arthropoda; Insecta; Coleoptera; Staphylinidae. The record is from RNAcentral.
ACUAACAAGGAUUCCCUCAGUAGCGGCGAGCGAACAGGGAAAAGCCCAGCACUGAAUCCCGCGGCCGACAUCGGACGCCGGGAAAUGUAGUGUUAGGGAGGGUCCGCUAACCCGAGAUCGUGCGGCGCGUCCAAGUCCUCCUUGAACGGGGCCAUUUACCCAUAGAGGGUGCCAGGCCCGUAGCGGCCGCCGCCGGUAGCGGAUGGAUCUCUCCUCAGAGUCGGGUUGCUUGAGAGUGCAGCCCUAAGUGGGUGGUAAACUCCAUCUAAGGCUAAAUAUUACCACGAGACCGAUAGCGAACAAGUACCGUGAGGGAAAGUUGAAAAGAACUUUGAAGAGAGAGUUCAAUAGUACGUGAAACCGUUCAGGGGUAAACCUGAGAAGCCCGAAAGGUCGAACGGGGAGAUUCAGCGCGUCUCGUUUUUGUGCGAGCUUUGUGAUUUUCGACUGUCUUGCGUUCGCGCUUGGCAGCGUCAUCCGAAGCCGAUGCCUGAAACGAACGCGUGCACUUCUCCCUUUGUAGGACGUCGCGACCCGUUGGGUGCCGGUCUCAAGGGCCGCGGUGGAGCCCGACGGGGCGCGGAGAUUUAUCUCUGUCGCUCCCGUCGGACCCGCGGCAUUCCUGGCCGGCUCGCUCGACGGUAUGACAUCAGGCGAAGGGCCGCGAACUCUGGUUCGCGUCCGGCCUAUCGCGUGCGCGGGCACCUAUCCCGGACGUCGGACUUUUGCGCCGGCCCCGGGGGUGCCCGUUUGCACGCUUUAGUGUCCUCGGACAGGCCCGAUUUUAACACGCCCGUCUGCGACGCUUUAGCUUUGGGCACUUUCAGGACCCGUCUUGAAACACGGACCAAGGAGUCUAGCAUGUGCGCGAGUCAUUGGGACUGCUUUAAACCUAAAGGCGAAAUGAAAGUGAAGGCCGCUCUUUUAGGGCGUGCCGAGGGAGGAUGGGCCGCGUCGGACUUACCAAAGUCCGCGACCCCGCACUCCCGGGGCGUCUCGUUCUCAUUGCGAGAUGAGGCGCACCUAGAGCGUACACGCUGGGACCCGAAAGAUGGUGAACUAUGCCUGGUCAGGACGAAGUCAGGGGAAACCCUGAUGGAGGUCCGUAGCGAUUCUGACGUGCAAAUCGAUCGUCGGAACUGGGUAUAGGGGCGAAAGACUAAUCGAACCAUCUAGUAGCUGGUUCCCUCCGAAGUUUCCCUCAGGAUAGCUGGCGCUCGCGUGAAGCGAGUCUCAUCCGGUAAAGCGAAUGAUUAGAGGCAUUGGGGUCGAAACGGCCUCAACCUAUUCUCAAACUUUAAAUGGGUUAGAACUCCGGCUUGCUUGAACGAUGAAGCCGAUGAGUUUACGACCUCGGGCGGCGAUGUUUGUCGUCGUCCGGGUGUUCGUGACGGAUCAGAG